CCUACGGGAGGCAGCAGUGAGGAAUAUUGGUCAAUGGGCUGACGUCUGAACCAGCCAAGUCGCGUGAGGGAAGACUGCCCUAUGGGCUGUAAACCUCUUUUGUCAGGGAGCAAUUGGCGCUACGUGUAGCGUUAUCGCGAGUACCUGAAGAAAAAGCAUCGGCUAACUCCGUGCCGGCAGCCGCGGUAAUACGGAGGAUGCUAGCGUGAUCCGGAUUUAUUGGGUUUAAAGGGAGCGUAGGCGGAAUGCCAAGUCAGCGGUAAAAUCGCGGGGCGCAACCGCGCGACGCCGUUGAAACUGGCGUUCUUGAGUGGGCGAGAAGUAUGCGGAAUGCGUGGUGUAGCGGUGAAAUGCAUAGAUAUCACGCAGAACGCCGAUGGCGAAGGCAGCAUACCGGCGCCCAACUGACGCUGAGGCACGAAAGCGUGGGUAUCGAACAGGAUUAGAUACCCGAGUAGUC
Molecule: ribosomal RNA, 460 nt
Filed under: uncultured bacterium
Lineage: Bacteria
Description: partial 16S ribosomal RNA
Rfam family: Bacterial small subunit ribosomal RNA
Source: RNAcentral